Molecule: ribosomal RNA, 490 nt
Filed under: uncultured bacterium
Lineage: Bacteria
Description: bacterial SSU rRNA
Rfam family: Bacterial small subunit ribosomal RNA
Source: RNAcentral
GAUGAACGCUAGCGGCAGGCUUAAUACAUGCAAGUCAAGGGGUAGCAAUACAACCGGCGCACGGGUGAGUAACGCGUACACAACAUACCAUAUACUGGAGUAUAGCUUUGGGAAACUGAAGGUAAUCCUCCAUAACAUUGCGAGAGGGCAUCUGAUUGCAAUUAAAGUUUCGGCGGUAUAUGAUUGGUGUGCGUUUGAUUAGCUAGUUGGUAGGGUAACGGCCUACCAAGGCGACGAUCAAUAGCUGGCGUGAGAGCGCGACCAGCCACACUGGAACUGAGACACGGUCCAGACUCCUACGGGAGGCAGCAGUAGGGAAUAUUGGACAAUGGAGGAAACUCUGAUCCAGCCAUGCCGCGUGAUAGAUGAAGGCCCUCUGGGUUGUAAAUAUCUUUUAUCUGGGAAGAAACACUCCUAUUCUUUAGGAACUUGACGGUACCGAGAGGAAUAAGCACCGGCUAACUACCGUGCCAGCAGCCGCGGUAAAGUA